CUUCGACCCGUCUCCACAGUCUUCGGCUUGCCCUACCUGAUUCCACUUGUCGUCAGGUAGGUUUCUCUCCAAUUAAAUUAGUCUUCUGAAAUUGUUCACGUCUCACUGCCUCCGCUCGCCGUCAUCUCCUCCGGAUCCCUUUUCCAAUAAAUUUGGAUGCAUGAAGAUGAAUUCAACCGUCGAAACGUUCCAACGUCCGACCGUUCGGUGGCCCGAACCUGUGAAUCUCAACACCAUUUUGGCUUCAGCUCUCUACUUCAGCGAACUUGUGAAUAUCGACACCAUUUUGGCUUCAAAUUUAGGUAA
Molecule: long non-coding RNA, 306 nt
Organism: Dendrobium catenatum
Lineage: Eukaryota; Viridiplantae; Streptophyta; Magnoliopsida; Asparagales; Orchidaceae
Exons: 3
Source: RefSeq, a predicted model, not a curated record